AUACGUAGGGAGCGAGCGUUGUCCGGAAUUACUGGGCGUAAAGGGCGCGUAGGCGGCGCUUCAAGUCGUCUGUCAAAUGGGAGGGCUUAACCCUUUUUCGCAGACGAAACUGGAGAGCUUGAGAAGCAGAGAGGCAAACAGAAUUCCUGAUGUAGCGGUGAAAUGCGUAGAUAUCAGGAAGAAUACCAGUGGCGAAGGCGGUUUGCUGGCUGCAUACUGACGCUGAAGCGCGAAAGCCAGGGGAGCAAACGGGAUUAGAUACCCCGGUAGUCCUGGCAGUAAACGAUGUAUGCUGGGUGUGAGACUAGCGAUAGUUUCGUGCCGAAGUUAACGCGAUAAGCAUACCGCCUGGGGAGUACGGUCGCAAGAUUGAAACUUAAAGGAAUUGACGGGG
RNAcentral lists this ribosomal RNA (394 nucleotides) under uncultured bacterium. RNAcentral's name for it is "partial 16S ribosomal RNA". It matches the Rfam family "Bacterial small subunit ribosomal RNA", at positions 523 to 918 of the family's 1533-position model. The record is from RNAcentral.